This 2141-nucleotide long non-coding RNA is filed under the name Pan troglodytes (chimpanzee). RNAcentral's name for it is "long non-coding RNA NONPTRT004159". The record is from RNAcentral. Lineage: Eukaryota; Metazoa; Chordata; Mammalia; Primates; Hominidae.
GGAAGAAAAAAAAAAUUCUAAGCGCAGCGCCCUCCAAUACGACCAUUAGACGCAUGGAUAAGUAACUGACACGUGGACAUUAUAACAAUGAAAUCCUACUCUGACACUGAGGUUUUGAACACUGCCAUUCUCACUGGAAAGCCUGUUUCAGUUCCUGUCAAAGUCGUGAGGGUCCAGGAGGAUGGUUCUGUGGUCUAUGUGUCUGAGUCUGUGGAAUGCAAGUCUGCCGAUGCAGAUGUCAUUAAGGUCUUCAGCAUUAACAUCUCCAUCUCUUGAACUAGUGAUCUGCCCACCUCGGACUCCCAAAGUGCUGGGAUUAUAGGUGUGAGCCACCACGCUGGGCCUUGGCUUGCAGUUUUGAUCUCAGGAUUGGUAUGACUUUGAAGAAGACAGAGGACACAAUUGUUAAAGAGUCCAGAAUCUGGGAGAAUAAAAUAAUUUUCAGAGACUGGAACCUCAACCUAGUCUGGCAGGUGGAAGAAGGAUAAAAAGUUCUACUGUUAGUUUAAGAAAGUUUUCAUUAAUUUCAAAAUAUGCAGCAUAACAGCAACAUCUGUGUGAAAAAAUCUUGGCAUCUUUAUAAAUAGUAAGAGCCAAUGAAUCAAAUGAAGAGGUUGCCAUGAGGCUGAUGUGAUCUUCGUCAGCAUUAAUCAGAGCAUGGUCCCAGCACAGGCAACACUGCUGUACUUCAUGCCAAAUCUGGUCCAGAAGGGUUGUGUGUGUGUGUUUGACUUUUUAAAAUUUGAAUCCAUUUCCAGCAUGCAAACAUUGUUAAUUUCACGUCUGGAUUCCGAGCUCCUCUUGAAACACCAUGUGGUCAGGUUGUCCUGCGCCCAUACUCCUGCCGGUCAUCAUCAUCUGGAGUGGACCAGUUGUCUACAGAGGCUCUCCACUCCCCACCACUCCAGCUCACUGUAAUCUCCACCACUCCCUCUCGCCUUCCACACUGAGGGAGGCCCAGCAAGCAGAUUUGAGAGAUUGUGCUCUGUACUUGUGCAAUCUAAUUGUGUCCUGUUAGAAAGGAGAUGUCCUGGGAAACUCAAAUUAAGGUGAGCAGCAGCCUCUUCUUGUAGUUCAGGUGGACAGAACACAGCCACUGAGGCCUGGCAUCUUCUAAGCACUGUGAAAACCGUACUCUCCUACCAAUCACUGUAUUUUACAGCGUUUUGCACAAUUCUGUGUCCUUCACUCAGUUGGGCCUCCUCCAGGGCAUAAGCUCUCUGAUUCCCUCUGUGUCCCCAGAGUCCUGCCCAGAUCCCACCACAUAACAUUACUGGCCCUGAGCCAGGCCUGAGAUUUAGCCUCAGGCUCUGUAAACUCUGUGCCCUUUAAAAUGGUGACUUGUCCUUUCUGGGCUACGUCUCUUCAAAGUGGGCACAGAUCAGAUCUCUGCGGUCUCAUUCAGCACCAGGACGUUAAGAUUCUAUGAUGGAGGUGUGUGUUGAAUGAGAUGGGAAGGGAAGCUGUGCAGUGGUCCCCGUUCUGCCCACCCUGCCCCUGAGGUCCACACUUGCUGGGAGGCCUGGACAUUUCGUCAGUUACAGGGUGAGUGCUGGCCAAACCACCAUGGAGAGAUGAAGAAAUGGCACAUCCAAGCCAUGGUCCAACCACGGAGGCCAGAUCAACAUAUGUGAAUAAGGAUUGAUAAAAAGAAAUACAGCCAAGUGCAAAGCAUCACAAUCACACCUCAAAAGGCUGGGCUAGGGAGGUCUUUUGGAAGUGGGGGCUGAGAGUGACUUCCAGUGCUGGUGAGGGAAGGGAGGGGCUCACGGGGCCUGCCAGUUGCCAGCUGUAUGAUCCUGGACAACCUACUUCAUCUCAUUUACUCUGAACCAUUCUUGCAUGUCUACAAUGUUCCAGGCCCCAUCCAUGACCCUGGACUUCAGAAAGUCAGAUAAGGCAACAAUCUUGUCUUCCAAGGACAUGCAUUACAGUCCAGAAAGGGCAGAGAAGUGUUAAUGAAUCAGUCUUAGCAUGUGAAGAUACAAAAACGGCUCAAGGUUCCUCAAGCCCCAGGGUCCAUGGACUUAUUCACCUUUUACUCUCUGUGAUAAUUAUUUGACUUUGCACAUGUAUUAUUUAUAGUACUCUAAAGGAUAUGUAAACAACUUUUACCAUGGACACUACCCCAGACUGUGCUG